UUGUGGAGAAUGAUGAUGGUCGCAGUUCUUCGUUGUCCUCCUCUUCUAUUGGGAGGAUCAGCUAUGACUCUGCAGCUGCUGGUGAUGUCGACGGUGAUGGUGAGGAAGUGCAGAGCUCGGCAAAAGGUGGUGCUCUCGACAGUUUGGAGCACUUGGAGGAAGCUUUGCCGUUGAAGGAGGGGACCUGGUCACUCUCAUUACAAGUCUUGUUACAAUAUUCUGAUUCUUUCUUGGAGCCUUGGACUGUGCAUCAACUCGAUUUUACAAUGGUAGAGAUACUCAAGCUAUUGUAAAUGAAAAGCAUUGUAAGCAAAAGUUACCAUUUCCAAAAGGACAGGAUCUGUGGCUCAGCUAAAAAAGACAGGAAAUGGUGGCAGUGGUUGAGAACUGGAGUAUGGAUUGCCAGCACAAGAUCAUUUAAGGUAUGGGAUUUAAACCUGGCAGAAGGUGUUUUGGAAUGAUUUCUUUGAUAUUUGCUAUUUU
This is a long non-coding RNA of Ipomoea nil (Japanese morning glory), 483 nucleotides long. RefSeq lists it as uncharacterized. The transcript has 3 exons. Lineage: Eukaryota; Viridiplantae; Streptophyta; Magnoliopsida; Solanales; Convolvulaceae. The record is from RefSeq and is a predicted model, not a curated record.